AGCGAACGCUGGCGGCAGGCCUAACACAUGCAAGUCGAAUGAGGUCUUCGGACCUAGUGGCGGACGGGUGAGUAACACGUGGGAACGUGCCCUUUGGUACGGAAUAACUCAGGGAAACUUGAGCUAAUACCGUAUGUGCCCUUCGGGGGAAAGAUUUAUCGCCAUUGGAGCGGCCCGCGUCUGAUUAGCUAGUUGGUGAGGUAACGGCUCACCAAGGCGACGAUCAGUAGCUGGUCUGAGAGGAUGACCAGCCACAUUGGGACUGAGACACGGACCAAACUCCUACGGGAGGCAGCAGUGGGGAAUCUUGCGCAAUGGGCGAAAGCCUGACGCAGCCAUGCCGCAUGGAUGAUGAAGGUCUUAGGAUUGUAAAAUCCUUUCACCGGUGAAGAUAAUGACUGUAGCCGGAGAAGAAGCCCCGGCUAACUUCGUGCCAGCAGCCGCCGUAA
RNAcentral lists this ribosomal RNA (449 nucleotides) under uncultured bacterium. Its description in RNAcentral is "partial 16S ribosomal RNA". It matches the Rfam family "Bacterial small subunit ribosomal RNA", at positions 29 to 523 of the family's 1533-position model. The record is from RNAcentral.